Molecule: long non-coding RNA, 319 nt
Filed under: Theobroma cacao (cacao)
Lineage: Eukaryota; Viridiplantae; Streptophyta; Magnoliopsida; Malvales; Malvaceae
Description: long non-coding RNA (TCAC_LNC002843)
Source: RNAcentral
CACCCUUUCGCAUUCCUCUUCCUUUCUUUCCUCCUCCUCUCUUUCCGUUCCUUAGUUGAAUCCGGUUCUCUGCUCCUCACCUCCUUCAUCGACCGCGAUCCUUCUUUCAAAUCCCUCCUUUCCCGCCUCGACCUCCACCCUUCUCACCCUCACGCGCGUCUCCACCCCACUCGUCGCCCCACGCGCCGUCCUUUCCUCCACCUCACGCGCGUCGGCACUCUCGACGACGACUUCUUUUCUUCCGACGACGAUCACCGCGACCGCUCCCCCUUCGGUUCUUUCCCUAACCGCCCCCUCAAUGGCACGCCGGUGAUUCUUU